AUUGAACGCUGGCGGCAUGCUUUACACAUGCAAGUCGAGCGGCAGCGCGGGGGGCAACCCUGGCGGCGAGCGGCGAACGGGUGAGUAAUGCAUCGGAACGUAUCCUGUAGUGGGGAAUAACUCACCGAAAGGUGAGCUAAUACCGCAUAAGCUCUGAGGAGGAAAGCGGGGGACCGAAAGGCCUCGCGCUGCAGGAGCGGCCGAUGUCCGAUUAGCUAGUUGGUGAGGUAAAGGCUCACCAAGGCGACGAUCGGUAGCUGGUCUGAGAGGAUGAUCAGCCACACUGGGACUGAGACACGGCCCAGACUCCUACGGGAGGCAGCAGUGGGGAAUUUUGGACAAUGGGGGAACCCUGAUCCAGCCAUGCCGCGUGAGUGAAGAAGGCCUUCGGGUUGU
Molecule: ribosomal RNA, 396 nt
Filed under: uncultured bacterium
Lineage: Bacteria
Description: bacterial SSU rRNA
Rfam family: Bacterial small subunit ribosomal RNA
Source: RNAcentral